This 1454-nucleotide unclassified non-coding RNA is filed under the name Hevea brasiliensis (rubber tree). The record is from RNAcentral. Lineage: Eukaryota; Viridiplantae; Streptophyta; Magnoliopsida; Malpighiales; Euphorbiaceae.
GGAUGGUUGCUGUUAUAAUGUGAUCAUUCAAGGGUUUCUCAGGCAUGCAGAUGUACCAAAAGCAUCAAAACUUAUUGAAGAAAUGGUUGGCAAGGGAUUUUCUGCAGAUACAACGACCACCGAAUUGGUAAUGUGUUUAUCCCGCAAUGGCCAUCCCAUUUUGAGAAAACUACGAAAUCAAUCUAAAGGUUUUCAUGGUGUAAAUGUGAAGUGAGAUGUUAUCAAUCAAUGCCUGAUCAACUGAUGCAGGAAGUCUUUGUUAUGCUGUAUAUUAUAGGUACUUGGUUCUAUUUCAAUAUGUAUACUAUAACAAUUUUGUCUAGUUAGUUGUACUUGCUUUUUUAAAUGAAACUCUCUAUUAGUAGUAAUAUCAUUAUCCUUUUAAUAGGCUGUAUAUGCUCAUUAACAUCAAUGAAUCUGUUCUAUUGAUACACUGUUCAGAAAAAGCAAGGUAAAGCCAAUUUCCUAUAUACAGUGAGUAUAGUGAAGAUGGUUGUAUUUGGCAUAGGAAAAUGGACAAAACAACUAUUGGGUAAGCAUAUGAACGACUUCAGAUUUCUUACUGCUUUCUCUUUUGAUGUCUUUUCCUUUCUCUACGGAGAAUGCAACUCCUAUUACAUUAUGUGCUAUUUCCAUUGUCAACGCAUUUUGUAAAUUGUUUCAGUUUUGGAAAAUCGUUUCUCAGCGCACUAUGAUGACAUUAAAUUUCAAACUUCUGUUAACUUCCUAAAAGAAAAAUACUCGCAAAACUCACUAUAUAUGUCCUUUUAUUUGGAGGAAUUGUAAUAGUAUUUGGAAUCUCCUAGCAAUAGGUGCUUAAUUCUCUGUGAGUUUACAUAUUUAUGAACCUUCUUCUGUAUAAGAAAUCAGUGCAUAUGGUUGUUUUUAACUUGCAAGCAUCAUGUGAUUGUGAUUCCAUAAGCACAACUCAUAAUGUGCCUAUUCCCUAAUUUGCUUCUUACACAUUAUUCUUGACUUGGUGUUGCAACUGCAAAAUGUAGCAAGUAGUUUGGCAAGAAGAAAAAAAAAAGGGAUAACUAAAAACAUCUAUAGAAUAUUAUGUGUGCAUUGUUAAAUUUAAUGGAAGGGGAAAAAAAGGAUAGUUUUGCUUGCUAUUUCGUGAAAGUGAACCUUCGCGAACUGUCUGAAUGGAUUAUGCAUUAACCAGGGUGGUAGAUAUUUCUAUUACAAGUGUUAGUGAUAUAUAUCCAACAGGCUAGGAAUGAUAUGUUUCUGAAAUUAUAGUUCGAUUUGAUGAAGUUCAUUGAGGUGAUGAGGAGAUGGUCUCCCAUUUUAACUUGGUCUGGGUCUGCCAUUGAGUACCCAAUGGAACAGGCUAUGUGCUUUUGUUUGGGACUGCUAGUCUUAUCAUUUUAUUGGUAUUAUUACCCACACAUUAAUGGAGGUCUCUGAUAAGGGCAGAGAUGAAAAUGGAUGGAGAAACUUGAAGAAAU